Molecule: ribosomal RNA, 775 nt
Filed under: uncultured bacterium
Lineage: Bacteria
Description: bacterial SSU rRNA
Rfam family: Bacterial small subunit ribosomal RNA
Source: RNAcentral
CAGUCGAACGAGGAUUUAACGGAAUGCGAUUCGUCAAAUGAAAUUAAAUCCGACUGUCGGACGGGUGAGUAACGCGUGGAUAACCUGCCUCACACAGGGGGACAACAGCCGGAAACGGCUGCUAAUACCGCAUAACAUGAGCAGCUCGCAUGGGCAGCUCACCAAAGAUUUUAUCGGUGUGAGAUGGAUCCGCGUCUGAUUAGCCAGUUGGCGGGGUAACGGCCCACCAAAGCGACGAUCAGUAGCCGACCUGAGAGGGUGACCGGCCACAUUGGGACUGAGACACGGCCCAAACUCCUACGGGAGGCAGCAGUGGGGAAUAUUGCACAAUGGGCGCAAGCCUGAUGCAGCGACGCCGCGUGAAGGAUGAAGUAUUUCGGUAUGUAAACUUCUAUCAGCAGGGAAGAAAAUGACGGUACCUGACUAAGAAGCCCCGGCUAACUACGUGCCAGCAGCCGCGGUAAUACGUAGGGGGCAAGCGUUAUCCGGAUUUACUGGGUGUAAAGGGAGCGUAGAUGGCAUGGCAAGUCUGAAGUGAAAGCCCGGGGCUUAACCCCGGGACUGCUUUGGAAACUGUUAAGCUAGAGUGCAGGAGAGGUAAGCGGAAUUCCUAGUGUAGCGGUGAAAUGCGUAGAUAUUAGGAGGAACACCGGUGGCGAAGGCGGCUUACUGGACUGUAACUGACAUUGAGGCUCGAAAGCGUGGGGAGCAAACAGGAUUAGAUACCCUGGUAGUCCACGCCGUANACGAUGAAUACUAGGUGUUGGGGANCAUA